RNAcentral lists this ribosomal RNA (164 nucleotides) under Hordeum comosum. RNAcentral's name for it is "5.8S ribosomal RNA". It matches the Rfam family "5.8S ribosomal RNA". From Rfam's summary of the family: 5.8S ribosomal RNA (5.8S rRNA) is a component of the large subunit of the eukaryotic ribosome. It is transcribed by RNA polymerase I as part of the 45S precursor that also contains 18S and 28S rRNA. Functionally, it is thought that 5.8S rRNA may be involved in ribosome translocation. Lineage: Eukaryota; Viridiplantae; Streptophyta; Magnoliopsida; Poales; Poaceae. The record is from RNAcentral.
CACACGACUCUCGGCAACGGAUAUCUCGGCUCUCGCCUCGAUGAAGAACGUAGCAAAAUGCGAUACCUGGUGUGAAUUGUAGAAUCCCAUGAACCAUCAAGUUUUUGAACGCAAGUUGCGCCCGAGGCCUUCUGGUUGAGGGCACGCCUGCCUGGGCGUCACGC